GGCCACCGAACUGCUGAGCUAAAUCCCCGGCCCCCCAGAGUGCAGCUGCCGAAUGCCAUCCAACGGAAAGGCAGGCUCAUAACACGACGCAGUCUUCAUCCACCCUGUUAGCCCGAUCUGGCACCGUGCGACACCUGGCUCUUCCCCAACGUCGAAAUGACCUUGAAAGAGACCGGCAUGAAUCCGUUUAGGACAUCGAGGCAUCCGUGACAGCGCCACUAGAGACACUCUUAGAAGACGACUCCAGAGCUGCUACAGAGUGGAAAGAACGGCAGGAAGAACGCGAUCAAAGCGAGAUGGGGAUUCAUGGCAGGGGCAUGGAGAUCUGAAUCAGGGAGAAUGGCAGGGUACAGUGGUCCAGAGCUUCCAUGAGGGACUCAGGAGGGCUCCUGUGAUCAGAGACCAGAAACCACGAGGUCAAGGGGACCUGACAGCA
This is a long non-coding RNA of Fukomys damarensis (Damara mole-rat), 436 nucleotides long. RefSeq lists it as uncharacterized. The record is from RefSeq and is a predicted model, not a curated record. NCBI's taxonomy places the organism in Eukaryota, Metazoa, Chordata, Mammalia, Rodentia, Bathyergidae. The transcript is spliced from 3 exons.